Molecule: ribosomal RNA, 497 nt
Filed under: uncultured bacterium
Lineage: Bacteria
Description: partial 16S ribosomal RNA
Rfam family: Bacterial small subunit ribosomal RNA
Source: RNAcentral
GAUGAACGCUGGCGGCGUGCCUAAUACAUGCAAGUCGAGCGAACGGACGAGAAGCUUGCCUCUCUGAUGUUAGCGGCGGACGGGUGAGUAACACGUGGAUAACCUACCUAUAAGACUGGGAUAACUUCGGGAAACCGGAGCUAAUACCGGAUAAUAUUUUGAACCGCAUGGUUCAAAAGUGAAAGACGGUCUUGCUGUCACUUAUAGAUGGAUCCGCGCUGCAUUAGCUAGUUGGUAAGGUAACGGCUUACCAAGGCAACGAUGCAUAGCCGACCUGAGAGGGUGAUCGGCCACACUGGAACUGAGACACGGUCCAGACUCCUACGGGAGGCAGCAGAAGGGAACCUUCCGCAAUGGGCGAAAGCCUGACGGAGCAACGCCGCGUGAGUGAUGAAGGUCUUCGGAUCGUAAAACUCUGUUAUUAGGGAAGAACAUAUGUGUAAGUAACUGUGCACAACGUGACGGUACCUAAUCAGAAAGCCACGGCUAACUACGUG